GUCAGAACAUAUUUGUGUUUACUGAAUGUAGAUUAGACAUACAGUUUCUGGUAUUGAGAAAAUUAUGGUUAAACUAGGCUAAAGAAUCUUACCUUUGGGAAAAUUGUUAAUCUGUGUGUUGCCACAACUGAAUGACUUUUCUUUCUUAAAGACCCAGAUUGAUCACUAUGUUGGCAUUGCCCGUGAUCAGACCAAGUCGAUUGUUGAAAAGAUCCAAGCAAAACUCCCUGGAAUCGCAAAAAAAAAGGCAGAAUAAGUACAUGGAAACCAGAAACGCAACAGUUACUAAAACACCAUUUAAUAGUUAUAACGUUGUUACUUGUACUAUGAAGGAACUUGCUCAGUGUCAGCUUGAGCCUGCAUUCCAAGCUUUUUAUUUUUUUAUUUGGUGUUUUCUCCUCUCCUUUCCCUCUACCCUCAGUAUCAAGCACAAGAAUUGUUGGACUUAAAAAAGAACUGAAAUCUUAGAAAACCCAAAAGAAUAAAGAAAGAGUCAAAUUAAUAGGAUAAAUCAGUACCUUAAUGAUGGUGGAGCUUUUACCUGUAACUUGAAAGGAGAGGGAAAAUUGGAGGUAAAGGAGAAAAUGAAAAAUAAAAACAUCUCUUGGGUUCUUUUAUCCAAAUUUCAAGGACUAGUCAGUCUUCUAUAGCUUCCCAUCAUAGUUUUGCCCUUAUUUUAAGUUAAGAAAUAAUGAUUAACUUAUGAAGAAAUUAUCUGGGGACAAGAAUGGGAUUCCUUCCCUUGUUCGUUGUUGUUUUGUUUUCCGGUCCUCUGAUCCCAUCUUCCUGCCCCACAACGUGAGCAGCUACUCCUAAUUUUCCUCUUCUUCAUUUAAUGAUAUAACUUUCAACUCUGUGAAUAACUUAUAGUUGAUAGUGAUGACUCCUGAUUCCCAGAAUACCAUCUGAUAACCAAGAAUGGAGAUGGAAGGUCGGACGGAGGAGUGCACAGGACCACUGCUGUGACUCCCGCGCAUCCUUAGGAAGGAAAGGCUCCGCAUGGGGAACAGUGGUGUCUGUGUCGUUUCUUCUGGACACCAGUU
This 1043-nucleotide long non-coding RNA is filed under the name Capra hircus (goat). Its description in RNAcentral is "lncRNA (ENSCHIG00010019100.1)". Lineage: Eukaryota; Metazoa; Chordata; Mammalia; Artiodactyla; Bovidae. The record is from RNAcentral.